Carlito syrichta (Philippine tarsier) is the source of this 1531-nucleotide RNA transcript. It is a transcript of the gene named actin, cytoplasmic 2-like, with no coding region annotated. NCBI's taxonomy places the organism in Eukaryota, Metazoa, Chordata, Mammalia, Primates, Tarsiidae. The transcript has a single exon. The record is from RefSeq and is a predicted model, not a curated record.
AUGGAAGAAGAAAUCGCCGCGUUCAUCAUUGACAAUGGUUCUGGCAUGUGCAAAGCUGACUUUGCAGGGGACAACACUCCCCGAGCUGUGUUCCCCUCUAUUGUUGGGCGUCCCCGACACCAGAGCGUUAUGGUGGGCAUGGGUCAGAAGGACUCCUACGUGGGCGAUGAGGCCCAGAACAAGCGAGGCAUCCUGACUCUGAAGUAUCCCAUCGAGCAUGGCAUCGUCACCAACUGGGACAAUAUGGAGAAGAUCUGGCACUACACGUUCUACAACGAACUGCGUGUGGCCCCCGAGGAGCACCCGGUGCUAUUGACCGAGACCCCCCUGAACCCUAGGCCAACAGAGAGAAGAUGACUCAGAUCAUGUUUGAGACCUUCAACACCCCGGCAAUGUAUGUGGCCAUCCAGGCCGUGCUCUCCCUGUACGCGUCUGGGCGUACCACUGGUAUGGUCAUGGACUCUGGAGACGGGAUCACCCACACGGUGCCCAUCUACGAUGGCUACGCCCCCUCCCCAUGCCAUCCUGCAUCUGGACCUAGCUGGCCAGGACCUGACUGACUACCUCAUGAAGAUCCUCACGAAGCGCGGCUACAGCUUCAUCACCACAGCUGAGCGAGAGAUUUUGCAUGACAUCAAGGAGAAGCUGUGCUACGUUGUUCUGGACUUCGAGCAGGAGAUGGCCACUGCCGCAUCCUCUUCCUCCCUGGAGGAGAGCUACGAGCUGCCUGAUGGCCAGCUGAUCACCAGUGGCAACGAGCGUUUCCGGUGUUCAGAGGCGCUGUUCCAGCCCUCCUUCCAAGGCAUGGAAUCCUGUGGCAUCCACAAGACCACCUUCAACUCCAUCAUGAGGUGUGACGUAGAUAUCCGCAAGGACCUGUACGCUAACACAGUGCUGUCUGGUGGCUCCACCAUGUACCCGGACAUUGCUGACAGGAUGCAGAAGGAGAUCACUGCCCUGGUGCCCAGAACCAUGAAGAUCAAGAUCAUUGCUCCCCCUGAGCUCAAGUACUCCAUGAGGAUCGGUGUCUCCAUCCUGGCCUCCCUGUCCACCUUCCAGCAGAUGUGGAUCAGCAAGCAGGAGUACGAUGAGUCGGGCCCCUCCACUGUCCACCGCAAAUGCUUCCAAACAGACUGCAAGCAGAUGCGUAGCAUUUGCUGCAUGAGUUAAUUCAUAAGUAUAAAUUUGCCCUGGCAAAUGUAUACACCUCAUCCUAGACUCACGAAACUGGAAUAAGCCUUUGAAAAGAAAGUUGUCCUUGAAGCUUGUAUGAUAUCAGCAGCAGAUCGUAGAACUUGUUGCUGAUUUUUGACCUUGUAUUCAAGUUAACUGUUCCCUUGGUAUUUGUUUAAUACCCUGUACAUAUCUUUGGUUUAAACCCUUAGUACACAUGUGGCUCAGUCACUUCAUGGCUGAAGUGAGAACAUGCUUAUGGAAGAGAAGUCUGUGAUCUGUAAAUCUGCGUGACCAAGAGUUUUGAUCUGUGCAGGGUAUUAAUGUGUCAGAGCUGAGUAUUCCCGGAUUUCUCUAG